This 406-nucleotide ribosomal RNA is filed under the name uncultured bacterium. RNAcentral describes it as "bacterial SSU rRNA". It matches the Rfam family "Bacterial small subunit ribosomal RNA", at positions 976 to 1381 of the family's 1533-position model. The record is from RNAcentral.
AUCCCUUGACAUCCGGAGAAUUUUCUAGAGAUAGAUUAGUGCCUUCGGGAAUUCCGUGACAGGUGCUGCACGGCUGUCGUCAGCUCGUGUCGUGAGAUGUUGGGUUAAGUCCCGCAACGAGCGCAACCCCUAUCCUUGGUUGCUAGCAGGUAAUGCUGAGAACUCCAGGGAGACUGCCAGUGACAAGCUGGAGGAAGGUGGGGACGACGUCAAGUCAUCAUGGCCCUUAUGGGAUGGGCUACACACGUGCUACAAUGGUCGGUACAGAGGGUUGCGAACUCGCGAGAGAGAGCUAAUCCCACAAAGCCGAUCUUAGUCCGGAUUGGAGUCUGCAACUCGACUCCAUGAAGUUGGAAUCGCUAGUAAUCGUGGAUCAGAAUGCCACGGUGAAUACGUUCUCGGGCCU